ACACGUGCACUUUAUAUAAUAGCAUAAAUAGUAUAGAUAAUUAGUUAGUUUUUCUGUUGGUAAAGGAAAGAAAGUUCUAUGAUUUUUAUGGCUACAGGCUUAUUACUUGGCUGUGCCCUUUCCAAUUGAGAAAGCUCCGAUUAGGGAGAUAACUACUUUGAAUGGUGGGGUGAAAAUCUCUGAGCUGUUAAAUUAUCCAGUCAGAGGUCUUGUUUUUGAGGGUGGAAAUACUCUGGAAGAUUUGUCCAAUGCUGUCUCGGAUUCCUGCAUUUGCCUUCAAGAUAACAUUCAAGUGGGAGCGUUGUGCUUGUGAGCAGGAUUGAUUAGCCUCAGUAAUGCUCAUGAAGAAUCUUCAAGUUGGUGUAUGCCCUAAGUGAACUACAAACUAAGCUUCAGAAGUGAUUGAAGUAGCUAAAUUGGAAUAGCCUUAACCGUACCUGACUCGGAUUAUUGGUGGUUUUGCUUUCAGGAGAUAAUGCACGAUCCUCAGGUGGCAGCCGAUGGAUUCACCUACGAAGGAGAUGCUCUGCGUGGAUGGUUGGAAAAUGGCCGAGAAACUUCCCCGAUGACCAAUUUGAGACUGGAUCACUUGCAUCUCACUCCCAACCAUGCACUGAGACUUGCUAUUCAAGAUUGGCUUUGCAAAGUUUAACAUACCAUUCGUAUACAUUCAGUCUAUGUCAUAAUGUAUAUUUGUAGAGUCUUCUUGUAUUUGGAGAAAAAAAAACCCUUUUACCAUUGUAUUUGGAUAACUAUUGAAAUAUUCUGUCUAAAGAGGACUGGGAGAAACAACAGGCUAAAGAGGUAGAGCAUUGCAUUGGCUUCUGUAUGCCAGUUGUAUCAAAAUCUUGUAUUGGUAUCACGAACUUUUUUUUAUGUAUUUUAUUUUAUUUGUAUGUUAA
This is a non-coding RNA of Camellia sinensis, 902 nucleotides long. The record is from RefSeq and is a predicted model, not a curated record. Lineage: Eukaryota; Viridiplantae; Streptophyta; Magnoliopsida; Ericales; Theaceae.